Molecule: ribosomal RNA, 188 nt
Filed under: Escherichia coli
Lineage: Bacteria; Pseudomonadati; Pseudomonadota; Gammaproteobacteria; Enterobacterales; Enterobacteriaceae
Also listed under: 1 other name
Description: partial 23S ribosomal RNA
Rfam family: Bacterial large subunit ribosomal RNA
Source: RNAcentral
GGGUUGUGAGGUUAAGCGACUAAGCGUACACGGUGGAUGCCCUGGCAGUCAGAGGCGAUGAAGGACGUGCUAAUCUGCGAUAAGCGUCGGUAAGGUGAUAUGAACCGUUAUAACCGGCGAUUUCCGAAUGGGGAAACCCAGUGUGUUUCGACACACUAUCAUUAACUGAAUCCAUAGGUUAAUGAGGC